Molecule: ribosomal RNA, 254 nt
Filed under: uncultured bacterium
Lineage: Bacteria
Description: partial 16S ribosomal RNA
Rfam family: Bacterial small subunit ribosomal RNA
Source: RNAcentral
UACGGGGGGAGCAAGCGUUGUUCGGAUUUACUGGGCGUAAAGGGCGCGUAGGCGGCCACUGCAAGUCAGUUGUGAAAUCUCCGGGCUUAACCCGGAAAGGUCAACUGAUACUGCAGGGCUAGAGUGCAGAAGGGGCAACUGGAAUUCUCGGUGUAGCGGUGAAAUGCGUAGAUAUCGAGAGGAACACCUGCGGCGAAGGCGGGUUGCUGGGCUGACACUGACGCUGAGGCGCGGAAGCCAGGGGAGCGAACGGG